This 253-nucleotide ribosomal RNA is filed under the name uncultured bacterium. RNAcentral's name for it is "partial 16S ribosomal RNA". It matches the Rfam family "Bacterial small subunit ribosomal RNA", at positions 524 to 776 of the family's 1533-position model. The record is from RNAcentral.
UACAGAGGUCUCAAGCGUUGUUCGGAUUCAUUGGGCGUAAAGGGUGCGCAGGCGGCGUGGAAAGUUGAGUGUGAAAUCCCGGGGCUUAACCUCGGAACUGCACUCAAUACUCCCAUGCUAGAGGAAUGUAGAGGAGAGUGGAAUUCACGGUGUAGCAGUGAAAUGCGUAGAUAUCGUGAGGAAGACCAGUUGCGAAGGCGACUCUCUGGGCAUUUCCUGACGCUCAUGCACGAAGGCCAGGGGAGCAAACGGG